RNAcentral lists this ribosomal RNA (468 nucleotides) under uncultured bacterium. RNAcentral's name for it is "partial 16S ribosomal RNA". It matches the Rfam family "Bacterial small subunit ribosomal RNA", at positions 28 to 507 of the family's 1533-position model. The record is from RNAcentral.
GACGACCGCUGGCGGCGUGCUUAACACAUGCAAGUCGAACGGAAAGGCCCUGCUUUUGUGGGGUGCUCGAAUGGCGAACGGGUGAGUAACACGUGAGUAACCUGCCCUUGACUUUGGGAUAACUUCAGGAAACUGGGGCUAAUACCGGAUAGGAGCUCCUGCUGCAUGGUGGGGGUUGGAAAGUUUCGGCGGUUGGGGAUGGACUCGCGGCUUAUCAGCUUGUUGGUGGGGUAGUGGCUUACCAAGGCUUUGACGGGUAGCCGGCCUGAGAGGGUGACCGGCCACAUUGGGACUGAGAUACGGCCCAGACUCCUACGGGAGGCAGCAGUGGGGAACAUUGCACAAUGGGCGGAAGCCUGAUGCAGCAACGCCGCGUGCGGGAUGACGGCCUUCGGGUUGUAAACCGCUUUCGCCUGUGACGAAGCGUGAGUGACGGUAAUGGGUAAAGAAGCACCGGCUAACUACGUG